RNAcentral lists this ribosomal RNA (640 nucleotides) under uncultured Tomentella. RNAcentral describes it as "eukaryotic LSU rRNA". The stretch from base 270 to 424 matches the Rfam family "5.8S ribosomal RNA". The record is from RNAcentral. Lineage: Eukaryota; Fungi; Basidiomycota; Agaricomycetes; Thelephorales; Thelephoraceae.
UCUUGGUCAUUAGAGGAAGUAAAAGUCGUAACAAGGUUUCCGUAGGUGAACCUGCGGAAGGAUCAUUACCGAAUUGUCAACAAGAGUUGUUGCUGGUCUCCGUAUGGGGGCAUGUGCACGCUCUGUUUACACAUCCACUCACACCUGUGCACCCUCUGUAGUUCUAUGGCCUGGGUGGGCUCUGUCCCCCUGCUGUGGUUCUGCGUCUUUACACACACACUACAAUGAAGUCUCAUGGAAUGUAUGUCGCGUUUAACGCAAUGAAAUACAACUUUCAGCAACGGAUCUCUUGGCUCUCGCAUCGAUGAAGAACGCAGCGAAAUGCGAUAAGUAAUGUGAAUUGCAGAAUUCAGUGAAUCAUCGAAUCUUUGAACGCACCUUGCGCCCUUUGGCUAUUCCGAAGGGCAUGCCUGUUUGAGUAUCAUGAACACCUCAACUCUUCAYGGCUUGCUGUGAUGAGCUUGGACUUUGGGGGUCUUGUUGGCCUGUGAGCCAGCUCCUCUUAAAUGAAUUAGCUUGCCAGUGUUUGGUGGCAUCACAGGUGUGAUAACUAUCUACGCUUGUGGUUUCCCAUCAGGUAACCUUCAGCGAUGGAGGUUYGCUGGGGCUUAUAAACAUCUCUCCUCRGUGAGGACAGAUU